CUGACUGAAGCUCAGUUUGUUAGAGCGCUGGUUUGUGGUACCGGAGGCUGGGGGUUCAAAUCCCCUCAGCCACCCCA
This 77-nucleotide transfer RNA is filed under the name Pelagibacteraceae bacterium TMED65. RNAcentral's name for it is "tRNA-His". It matches the Rfam family "tRNA". From Rfam's summary of the family: Transfer RNA (tRNA) molecules are approximately 80 nucleotides in length. Their secondary structure includes four short double-helical elements and three loops (D, anti-codon, and T loops). The record is from RNAcentral. Lineage: Bacteria; Pseudomonadati; Pseudomonadota; Alphaproteobacteria; Candidatus Pelagibacterales; Candidatus Pelagibacteraceae. RNAcentral also lists the same sequence under 1 other name.